Molecule: ribosomal RNA, 906 nt
Filed under: Pseudoidium sp. MUMH 4934
Lineage: Eukaryota; Fungi; Ascomycota; Leotiomycetes; Helotiales; Erysiphaceae
Description: eukaryotic LSU rRNA
Rfam family: Eukaryotic large subunit ribosomal RNA
Source: RNAcentral
UUGACCUCGAAUCAGGUAGGAAUACCCGCUGAACUUAAGCAUAUCAAUAAGCGGAGGAAAAGAAACCAACCGGGAUUACCUCAGUAACGGCGAGUGAAGCGGUAACAGCUCAAAUUUGAAAUCUGGCUCCUUUGGAGUCCGAGUUGUAAUUUGUAGAAGAUGCUUUGGGUUAUGGGUUCGGCCUAAGUUCCUUGGAACAGGACGUCAUGGAGGGUGAGAAUCCCGUAUGUGGCCGAGGCCCGCGCCUGUGUAAAGCUCUUUCAACGAGUCGAGUUGUUUGGGAAUGCAGCUCAAAAUGGGUGGUAAAUUUCAUCUAAAGCUAAAUAUGGGCCAGAGACCGAUAGCGCACAAGUAGAGUGAUCGAAAGAUGAAAAGCACUUUGGAAAGAGAGUUAAACAGUACGUGAAAUUGUUGAAAGGGAAGCGCUUGCACCCAGACUUGGGCGCUGCUGAUCACCUUGCGUUCUCCGCGAGUGCACUCGACAGCGCACAGGCCAGCAUCGGUUCGGGUGGCUGGAUAAAGGCCGUAGGAACGUAGCUCUCUUCGGGGAGUGUUAUAGCCUACGGUGCCAUGCAGCCCAGCCGGACCGAGGACCGCGCCUUCGGGCUAGGAUGCUGGCGUAAUGGGUGUAAGCGACCCGUCUUGAAACACGGACCAAGGAGUCUAACAUCUAUGCGAGUGUUUGGGUGGUAAACCCAUACGCGGAAUGAAAGUGAACGUAGGUGAGAACCCCUUUGGGGCGCAUCAUCGACCGAUCCUGAUGUCUUCGGAUGGAUUUGAGUAAGAGCAUAGCUGUUGGGACCCGAAAGAUGGUGAACUAUGCCUGAAUAGGGUGAAGCCAGAGGAAACUCUGGUGGAGGCUCGCAGCGGUUCUGACGUGCAAAUCGAUCGUCAAAUUUGGGCAUA